This is a long non-coding RNA of Musa acuminata AAA Group (dessert banana), 765 nucleotides long. RefSeq lists it as uncharacterized. The transcript is spliced from 3 exons. The record is from RefSeq and is a predicted model, not a curated record. NCBI's taxonomy places the organism in Eukaryota, Viridiplantae, Streptophyta, Magnoliopsida, Zingiberales, Musaceae.
ACGAAUAAUUUGUUCGGAUUACUUUUCCUAAUAAUGCGACCCGUUAACGCCCCGCUUCGUCGGCCUCGAAAACAUGGCGUGGUUUGCCGCAAUGUCGCCCUGAAUCCCAAUUCGGAAUAGUGCUUUAAAAGCUAUUCGAUGGCGUCUUGGAGUUGGCUGAGCAACGAAACGGGGGAGGGAUUUGGUUGAUUGGGGGAUCAAGAAAAGAGGAGGCUAAAUCCCUUCUCCCACCAAAAUUUUAGGUGAUCGAGCACAACAUGAAAACACACUGAAGACGUGCCUCUUCCGCAUCAACCUCCAACAUCUUUUGGGCAUAUGAUGGACAUGGCGAUGUAUGUCCAGGUCAACUUCAGGCACUACACGUGGGGGAGAGAAGGGAAAAGAAGGAAACACCAGUCCAAGAGAAGAAAUUUUUUGAUCCUGCCAUCUAUCCAUUUACAAAUAUAAAUUCUAGGAAGGAGAACGCCAACCUUCACAAACUGCUGUUCGUAUGCUCUGUCUUCCCAUUCUUACCUUUCUCAUGGCCUGUGAUAAGUUUGACUGUGUCCCCUACCUUGACAUGUAUUUUAGGCAGCACAAGUAAGACUACUAAGCUGCAACAGCAUAAUUCACCAAGCCUAAUGCUAAUUGGUAAUCUAAUUCACUAUAGUUCAUGAAGGAAAUUUAGUAUAGUCAUCUUCAACAUAUAACAUGAAGUACAACUAAUGCUAACCCUCAUUAUUAUAUUGCAUGGCUGAUCCAUCUAUUUAAUCUGCUAGAAGAGAA